AAACCAGCACCUCAAGUGGUCAGGAUGAUUAUUGGGCCUAAAGCAUCCGUAGCCUGCUUUGUAAGUUUUCGGUUAAAUCCAUACGCUCAACGUAUGGGCUGCCGGAAAUACUGCAAAGCUAGGGAGUGGGAGAGGUAGACGGUACUCGGGAGGAAGGGGUAAAAUCCUUUGAUCUCUCGAUGACCACCUGUGGCGAAGGCGGUCUACCAGAACACGUCCGACGGUGAGGGAUGAAAGCUGGGGGAGCAAACCGGAUUAGAUACCCGAGUAGUCC
RNAcentral lists this ribosomal RNA (274 nucleotides) under uncultured bacterium. RNAcentral describes it as "partial 16S ribosomal RNA". It matches the Rfam family "Archaeal small subunit ribosomal RNA", at positions 473 to 747 of the family's 1478-position model. The record is from RNAcentral.